Molecule: unclassified non-coding RNA, 154 nt
Filed under: Pichia terricola
Lineage: Eukaryota; Fungi; Ascomycota; Pichiomycetes; Pichiales; Pichiaceae
Description: partial internal transcribed spacer region
Rfam family: Eukaryotic small subunit ribosomal RNA (bases 1-46)
Source: RNAcentral
AAGUCGUAACAAGGUUUCCGUAGGUGAACCUGCGGAAGGAUCAUUACUGUGAUAUACUUUCCACACUGCGUGCGCGUAACAAACCCCUAAACAUGAAUAACCUAGUCAAGAAUCCAUAAGAAUAAAACUUUCAACAACGGAUCUCUUGGUUCUC